UAGUUCCAUGAUGUCUGAGC
This 20-nucleotide non-coding RNA is filed under the name Rattus norvegicus (Norway rat). The record is from RNAcentral. Lineage: Eukaryota; Metazoa; Chordata; Mammalia; Rodentia; Muridae.